This 253-nucleotide ribosomal RNA is filed under the name uncultured bacterium. RNAcentral describes it as "partial 16S ribosomal RNA". It matches the Rfam family "Bacterial small subunit ribosomal RNA", at positions 524 to 776 of the family's 1533-position model. The record is from RNAcentral.
UACGUAGGGGGCAAGCGUUGUCCGGAUUUAUUGGGCGUAAAGAGCGUGUAGGCGGCCAGGUAGGUCCGUUGUGAAAACUCGAGGCUCAACCUCGAGACGCCGAUGGAAACCAUCUGGCUAGAGUCCGGAAGAGGAGAGUGGAAUUCCCGGUGUAGCGGUGAAAUGCGCAGAUAUCGGGAAGAACACCCGUGGCUAAGUCGGCUCUCUAGUACGGUACUGACGCUGAGACGCGAAAGCGUGGGGAGCGAACAGG